Molecule: ribosomal RNA, 253 nt
Filed under: uncultured bacterium
Lineage: Bacteria
Description: partial 16S ribosomal RNA
Rfam family: Bacterial small subunit ribosomal RNA
Source: RNAcentral
GACAGAGGGUGCAAACGUUGUUCGGAGUUACUGGGCGUAAAGCGAGUGUAGGCGGUUUGGUAAGUCGGAUGUGAAAGCCCCGGGCUCAACCCGGGAAGUGCACUCGAUACUGCCAAGCUAGAGUAUCGGAGAGGUUGGUGGAAUUCUCGGUGUAGAGGUGAAAUUCGUAGAUAUCGAGAGGAACACCGGUGGCGAAGGCGGCCAACUGGACGAAUACUGACGCUGAGACUCGAAAGCGUGGGGAGCAAACAGG